GAUGAACGCUGGCGGCGUGCCUAAUACAUGCAAGUAGAACGCUGAAGCUUGGUGCUUGCACCGAGCGGAUGAGUUGCGAACGGGUGAGUAACGCGUAGGUAACCUGCCUCUUAGCGGGGGAUAACUAUUGGAAACGAUAGCUAAUACCGCAUAAAAGUCGACAUUGCAUGAUGUUGACUUGAAAGGUGCAAUUGCAUCACUAAGAGAUGGACCUGCGUUGGAUUAGCUAGUUGGUGAGGUAACGGCUCACCAAGGCAACGAUACAUAGCCGACCUGAGAGGGUGAUCGGCCACACUGGGACUGAGACACGGCCCAGACUCCUACGGGAGGCAGCAGUAGGGAAUCUUCGGCAAUGGGGGCAACCCUGACCGAGCAACGCCGCGUGAGUGAAGAAGGUUUUCGGAUCGUAAAGCUCUGUUGUAAGAGAAGAACGAGUGUGAGAGUGGAAAGUUCACACUGUGACGGUAACUUACCAGAAAGGGACGGCUAACUACGUGCCAGCAGCCGCGGUAAUACGUAGGUCCCGAGCGUUAUCCGGAUUUAUUGGGCGUAAAGCGAGCGCAGGCGGUUAGAUAAGUCUGAAGUUAAAGGCUGUGGCUUAACCAUAGUACGCUUUAGAAACUGUUUAACUUGAGUGCAGAAGGGGAGAGUGGAAUUCCAUGUGUAGCGGUGAAAUGCGUAGAUAUAUGGAGGAACACCGGUGGCGAAAGCGGCUCUCUGGUCUGUAACUGACGCUGAGGCUCGAAAGCGUGGGGAGCAAACAGG
This 765-nucleotide ribosomal RNA is filed under the name uncultured Streptococcus sp. RNAcentral's name for it is "bacterial SSU rRNA". It matches the Rfam family "Bacterial small subunit ribosomal RNA", at positions 28 to 776 of the family's 1533-position model. Lineage: Bacteria; Bacillati; Bacillota; Bacilli; Lactobacillales; Streptococcaceae. The record is from RNAcentral.